AAGCCGUCUUCCUAGGCGGGCUCCUCCCAGAGUCAGCUGCUCUGUGCUUCCAAAAGGCAAACUCAUUUUAUCAGAAAACAGCCAUGUCUGAUUCUCAAGGGCAUGUUCUGCUCAACACUUAGAGGGCUUCCCCCUUCAACUGAGUUCUCAGGCACCUCCUGGAGCUCAUCUGCACUGCCUCCAUCUUGAUCACCUGAAAUGUGUUAUGACACCUCUUCUCGUUUAGUUCUGUCUUCUCGAGGCUCCACUAACUCAAAUGUGUGCUGCAGAAUCUGCUGAAGGUUGGAGGUGACAAUGUACAUGUGUGUAUGAAGAAGACGGGGAUAAAUAUGAGAACAUAAGGCAGAGGAUCUGGAUUUAUUUCCCUAGAGGGCUUGUUGGGCAUCACCUGCCCUGUCCAACUUCGUCCACUCUAAGCCAGCUGGCCAGCACUGGGGGAUCAUCUGCCACAAUGGAACAGGCUCUGUCUGUCACUCUCUUCAACAGCAGAUGGCCACCCUGCACUCAUCCCCAUCAUACGCCAUCGCUAAGGGAGACACCAUGGUCCACCUACAAUUCACAAGCACUUUCCUCCAACUCAAGAGGAUGGAAAUCAUGGCUGUGUGCUGAAAUCACUCUGGGUCAGUAAUUUUUCAGCUAAAGGUGUCCUAUUGGGCAUUCUUACAAUAGAGAGAGGUGGAGCAAGAGGCCACUGGGAUUAUGUUAGAUUUUUAACAUGUGGGAUUAUGGUUAGAUUUUUAAUUGGAUUGGGCAUUUCAAUUAAGUUGGACAGAGCUUUUCAAGCAGGUCAAAGCACUGUCCCCUCAAGCAAGCACCUCUCUGUCUUGCCCAGCUUCCCUGAUUCGCAAGACAGUUCCUCACGAAAUGUUUUUCUUAUACUUUGUUUAUUUGAAGCUGGUAUGAUAGUCUGGGCAUGAGGCCCAGUUUAAUAUAAUUUUUACUGUUGCUACUGCACCCCCAAUUCUAUCAGGAUGGUUAUUAUUGUGUUGUCUAAGACACCUUACCACGGCAAUUACCACAGCCAGGUGUGCUCCCAUACUCACCCCACCCAUCCACCCACCCCACCCUUUCUACUUCAAACUUCAGAAAUGA
This is a long non-coding RNA of Heterocephalus glaber (naked mole-rat), 1092 nucleotides long. The record is from Ensembl. NCBI's taxonomy places the organism in Eukaryota, Metazoa, Chordata, Mammalia, Rodentia, Bathyergidae.